CCUACGGGAGGCAGCAGUGGGGAAUAUUGGGCAAUGGGCGCAAGCCUGACCCAGCAACGCCGCGUGAAGGAAGAAGGCCCUCGGGUUGUAAACUUCUUUUGUCAGGGACGAAGAAAGUGACGGUAGCGGACGAAUAAGCCACGGCUAACUACGUGCCAGCAGCCGCGGGAAUACGUAGGGGGCAAGCUUUAUCCGGAUUUACUGGGUGUAAAGGGCGUGUAGGCGGGACUGCAAGUCAGAUGUGAACUACCAGGGCUCAACCCUGGAACUGCAUUUGAAACUGUCGUUCUUCAGUGAUGGAGAGGCAGGCGGAAUUCCGUGUGUAGCGGUGAAAUGCGUAGAUAUACGGAGGAACACCAGUGGCGAAGGCGGCCUGCUGGACAGUAACUGACGCUGCGGCGCGAAAGCGUGGGGAGCAAACAGGAUUAGAUACCCGGGUAGUC
RNAcentral lists this ribosomal RNA (443 nucleotides) under uncultured bacterium. RNAcentral describes it as "partial 16S ribosomal RNA". It matches the Rfam family "Bacterial small subunit ribosomal RNA", at positions 338 to 795 of the family's 1533-position model. The record is from RNAcentral.